AACGCACCUUGCGCCCUUUGGUAUUCCGAAGGGCAUGCCUGUUUGAGUGUCAUUAUAUUCUCAACCUUGCAAAGCUUGCUUUGUUAGGCUUGGAUGUGAGGGCUUUGCUGGCUUCCAUUGAGUUGGAUGGUCUGCUCCCUUCAAAUUUAUUAGUGGGAUCCUUUGUGGAUGGUCACUUGGUGUGAUAAUUAUCUACGCCGCCUGACUGUGAAGCAAAACUUGUGGGGACCUGCUUAUAACUGUCUCUUUGGGGACUAUCUUUGACUAUUUGACCUCAAAUCAGGUAGGACUACCCGCUGAACUUAA
RNAcentral lists this unclassified non-coding RNA (306 nucleotides) under uncultured fungus. Its description in RNAcentral is "sequence contains ITS2". The stretch from base 1 to 52 matches the Rfam family "5.8S ribosomal RNA", at positions 103 to 154 of the family's 154-position model. The record is from RNAcentral. Lineage: Eukaryota; Fungi.